RNAcentral lists this ribosomal RNA (1429 nucleotides) under uncultured organism. Its description in RNAcentral is "16S ribosomal RNA". It matches the Rfam family "Bacterial small subunit ribosomal RNA". The record is from RNAcentral.
GACGAACGCUGGCGGCGUGCUUAACACAUGCAAGUCGAACGGAAAGGCCCUGCUUUUGUGGGGUGCUCGAGUGGCGAACGGGUGAGUAACACGUGAGUAACCUGCCCUUGACUUUGGGAUAACUUCAGGAAACUGGGGCUAAUACCGGAUAGGAGCUCCUGCUGCAUGGUGGGGGUUGGAAAGUUUCGGCGGUUGGGGAUGGACUCGCGGCUUAUCAGCUUGUUGGUGGGGUAGUGGCUUACCAAGGCUUUGACGGGUAGCCGGCCUGAGAGGGUGACCGGCCACAUUGGGACUGAGAUACGGCCCAGACUCCUACGGGAGGCAGCAGUGGGGAAUAUUGCACAAUGGGCGGAAGCCUGAUGCAGCAACGCCGCGUGCGGGAUGACGGCCUUCGGGUUGUAAACCGCUUUCGCCUGUGACGAAGCGUGAGUGACGGUAAUGGGUAAAGAAGCACCGGCUAACUACGUGCCAGCAGCCGCGGUGAUACGUAGGGUGCGAGCGUUGUCCGGAUUUAUUGGGCGUAAAGGGCUCGUAGGUGGUUGAUCGCGUCGGAAGUGUAAUCUUGGGGCUUAACCCUGAGCGUGCUUUCGAUACGGGUUGACUUGAGGAAGGUAGGGGAGAAUGGAAUUCCUGGUGGAGCGGUGGAAUGCGCAGAUAUCAGGAGGAACACCAGUGGCGAAGGCGGUUCUCUGGGCCUUUCCUGACGCUGAGGAGCGAAAGCGUGGGGAGCGAACAGGCUUAGAUACCCUGGUAGUCCACGCUGUAAACGGUGGGUACUAGGUGUGGGGUCCAUUCCACGGGUUCCGUGCCGUAGCUAACGCUUUAAGUACCCCGCCUGGGGAGUACGGCCGCAAGGCUAAAACUCAAAGGAAUUGACGGGGCCCCGCACAAGCGGCGGAGCAUGCGGAUUAAUUCGAUGCAACGCGUAGAACCUUACCUGGGUUUGACAUGGAUCGGGAGUGCUCAGAGAUGGGUGUGCCUCUUUUGGGGUCGGUUCACAGGUGGUGCAUGGCUGUCGUCAGCUCGUGUCGUGAGAUGUUGGGUUAAGUCCCGCAACGAGCGCAACCCUUGUUCACUGUUGCCAGCACGUUAUGGUGGGGACUCAGUGGAGACCGCCGGGGUCAACUCGGAGGAAGGUGGGGAUGACGUCAAGUCAUCAUGCCCCUUAUGUCCAGGGCUUCACGCAUGCUACAAUGGCUGGUACAGAGAGUGGCGAGCCUGUGAGGGUGAGCGAAUCUCGGAAAGCCGGUCUCAGUUCGGAUUGGGGUCUGCAACUCGACCUCAUGAAGUCGGAGUCGCUAGUAAUCGCAGAUCAGCAACGCUGCGGUGAAUACGUUCCCGGGGCUUGUACACACCGCCCGUCAAGUCAUGAAAGUUGGUAACACCCGAAGCCGGUGGCCUAACCGUUGUGGGGGAGCCGUCGAAGGUG